CACUCGCGCGCUGACGCCGGGACAGAGGAGGAGGCGCCGCUCUGUGUCAAUAAACAACUGAGGUGUUUUACGAAUACUGCUAGUGGCUUUCAAAGAGAAGAGAAGAGCUCGUUGGACGUCCCCCGAAUGCAUCGCACACUCGAGAGCAGACAAAGGUUCCCUGAAAAAGGCUGAAAAUUCAAACACAAGACAAAUGGCCCAAAACACACAGUCAGUGAAGUGGUGCUUCUUCUGUGUACACCAGAAAAAACUCCUGCUCGUUUGCUACUUACCUACAUGGCAGCCAAACAAGACAGUGAGUUCAAUAGAAUCAUAAAGGAAGGUGAAAACUG
Long non-coding RNA from Hemicordylus capensis (graceful crag lizard), 332 nucleotides. RefSeq lists it as uncharacterized. NCBI's taxonomy places the organism in Eukaryota, Metazoa, Chordata, Lepidosauria, Squamata, Cordylidae. The transcript is spliced from 3 exons. The record is from RefSeq and is a predicted model, not a curated record.